RNAcentral lists this ribosomal RNA (492 nucleotides) under uncultured bacterium. Its description in RNAcentral is "partial 16S ribosomal RNA". It matches the Rfam family "Bacterial small subunit ribosomal RNA", at positions 29 to 507 of the family's 1533-position model. The record is from RNAcentral.
AGUGAACGCUGGCGGUAGGCCUAACACAUGCAAGUCGAACGGCAGCACAGUAAGAGCUUGCUCUUACGGGUGGCGAGUGGCGGCCGGGUGAGGAAUACAUCGGAAUCUACUUUUUCGCGGGGGGUCACGUAGGGAAACUUACGCCAAUACCGCAUACGACCUACGGGUGAAAGCAGGGGAUCUUCGGACCCUGCGCGAUUGAAUGCGCCGAUGUCGGAUUAGCUAGUUGGCGGGGUAAAGGCCCACCAAGGCGACGAUCCGUAGCUGGUCUGAGAGGAUGAUCAGCCACACUGGAACUGAGACACGGUCCAGACUCCUACGGGAGGCAGCAGUGGGGAAUAUUGGACAAUGGGCGCAAGCCUGGUCCAGCCAUACCGCGUGGGUGAAGAAGGCCUUCGGGUUGUAAAGCCCUUUUGUUGGGAAAGAAAAGCAGCAGGUUAAUACCCCGCUGUUCUGACGGUACCCAAAGAAUAAGCACCGGCUAACUUCGUG